Molecule: ribosomal RNA, 425 nt
Filed under: uncultured bacterium
Lineage: Bacteria
Description: partial 16S ribosomal RNA
Rfam family: Bacterial small subunit ribosomal RNA
Source: RNAcentral
GUUAGGAAUAUUGGACAAUGGGCGCAAGCCUGAUCCAGCCAUGCCGCGUGAGUGAUGAAGGCCUUCGGGUUGUAAAGCUCUUUAGCCGAUGAUUAUAAUGACUGUAGUCGGAAAAUAAGCCCCGGCUAACUUCGUGCCAGCAGCCGCGGUAAUACGAAGGGGGCGAGCGUUAGUCGGAAUCACAGGGCGUAAAGCGUGCGUAGGCGGCUUUGCAAGUUGGGAGUGAAAGCCCAGGGCUCAACCCAGGAAUUGCUCUCAAAACUGCAAGGCUCGAAUUCGGGAGAGGAUAGCGGAAUUGUCAGUGUAGCAGUGAAAUGCGUAGAUAUUGACAGGAACACCAGUGGCGUAAGCGGCUAUAUGGACCGAUAUUGACGCUGAGGCACGAACGCGUGGGGAUCAAACAGGAUUAGAUACCCGUGUAGUCC